RNAcentral lists this unclassified non-coding RNA (300 nucleotides) under uncultured Amaurodon. RNAcentral describes it as "sequence contains 5.8S rRNA gene, ITS2". The stretch from base 1 to 71 matches the Rfam family "5.8S ribosomal RNA", at positions 84 to 154 of the family's 154-position model. Lineage: Eukaryota; Fungi; Basidiomycota; Agaricomycetes; Thelephorales; Thelephoraceae. The record is from RNAcentral.
GUGAGUCAUCGAAUCUUUGAACGCACCUUGCGCUCCUUGGUAUUCCGAGGAGCAUGCCUGUUUGAGUGUCAUGAACUUCUCAACUGCCUUCCGGGUUUGCGCCCGGCGGUGAAGUUGGACUUGGAGGCUUUUCGCCGGUGGCUCUAGUCAGCCGUCCGGCCCCUCCGAAAUGCAUGAGCUACUUCCGAUUGGCAGUACAGCGGCCCCGACGUGAUAAUUAUCUGCGCCGGAACGGUCCCUCUGUCUCGGUGGGCUUUACAACGAGAAGCCCGGGUUUUUCGGAACCUGGCCUUGACCAAU